Small nucleolar RNA from Otolemur garnettii (small-eared galago), 135 nucleotides. The record is from Ensembl. Lineage: Eukaryota; Metazoa; Chordata; Mammalia; Primates; Galagidae.
CUGGCUCCCAGAAAUAAAAGGCACUCUUAAAACAUAAAAUGUCUUUAAAUAGAGGUGCAGAUAGCAAGUGGAUCUUGUGGCCUUUGGAGGGCUGUGACUGUGCCCCUCGAAGUGAAUGUGGGGGGUUCUACGUCC